CGAGCGGGCUGCUCUGCUCCAGGUGAUGCGCUCCUGGAGGCUGGUCGAGAGAGGAGAGCUGUUUUUGAUUGUGACCAUUUAAAGUGGAGUUGCCUGUGAAAUGCAGACUGAGCAUAAAAUAAUGCCCAUUGAAGUUCUUUUUGAUAUCUGUUCCAACACAAGAGCAUCUCAGCAGAAAUGUGAUCAAUUGUACUCCUGACCCGCGCAAACCUCAGGGAAAAAGGAAACGAAGCGCACGCAGUAGGUAUUUGUCACAGCUGUGAAGAACUGAAUAACAUAUGACCUCACAGCACCUCCAUGAAGAUGGAGAUGAAUUCACACCUGAAUUUGAAACAAUGGCCACCCACGAUAAGUUCUAUGCAAUAAUUUGCUUAUCUCUAUGGGAACCAGAGAGAGUGCAAAGAUAUGAGCGCAAAUACACUACACUGAAGGAGCCGAUGCUAAUGUCAGUCACACGGAUAAAGUAAUCGGCAUUUUUGAGAUUUUGUUCACUGUUACGGACCUUCCCUCCACUCUUGUCCCCAAUGCUUUGGCUGAAUUGACAACGGAGAGGAACUGCAGGAGGGCAACUCCCUCAAUAGAAAGGGAGGCUGCUGCUCAGCCAGAACCAACUGUUCAGAAUUGUCACAUGUGACUCUUAGUCCAGUGAUGCCAGAUCUGCCGUCCCAAGAGAAGCUAGGAAACCUCAUAGGUAUGUAAGAUUUCUUAAACUUCCCGACACUCUAAGAUCAACCCAGGAACUCAUUUGUAGACUGAAUGCAGCCUUU
Molecule: long non-coding RNA, 767 nt
Organism: Jaculus jaculus (lesser Egyptian jerboa)
Lineage: Eukaryota; Metazoa; Chordata; Mammalia; Rodentia; Dipodidae
Exons: 3
Source: RefSeq, a predicted model, not a curated record